GACGAACGCUGGCGGCGUGCUUAACACAUGCAAGUCGAACGGUAAGGCCCUUCGGGGUACACGAGUGGCGAACGGGUGAGUAACACGUGGGUGAUCUGCCCUGCACUUCGGGAUAAGCCUGGGAAACUGGGUCUAAUACCGGAUAGGACCACUGCCUGCAUGGGCGGUGGUGGGAAGCUUUUGCGGUGUGGGAUGGGCCCGCGGCCUAUCAGCUUGUUGGUGGGGUGAUGGCCUACCAAGGCGACGACGGGUAGCCGGCCUGAGAGGGUGACCGGCCACGCUGGGACUGAGAUACGGCCCAGACUCCUACGGGAGGCAGAAGUGGGGAAUAUUGCACAAUGGGCGCAAGCCUGAUGCAGCGACGCCGCGUGAGGGAUGACGGCCUUCGGGUUGUAAACCUCUUUCAGCACCGACGAAGCGCAAGUGACGGUAGGUGCAGAAGAAGGACCGGCCAACUACGUACCAGCCGCCGCCGUAA
RNAcentral lists this ribosomal RNA (478 nucleotides) under uncultured bacterium. RNAcentral's name for it is "partial 16S ribosomal RNA". It matches the Rfam family "Bacterial small subunit ribosomal RNA", at positions 28 to 523 of the family's 1533-position model. The record is from RNAcentral.